Molecule: long non-coding RNA, 322 nt
Organism: Dreissena polymorpha
Lineage: Eukaryota; Metazoa; Mollusca; Bivalvia; Myida; Dreissenidae
Exons: 3
Source: RefSeq, a predicted model, not a curated record
CAGUUUUCAUGUGUUCGGCUUUGUCGGAAACGGAGUUGUAGUUUUACAUUGGUUUUGUGUAAAUAAGAUGGGCUGUCGCCAAUCAUCCGAAGCAAUAGGGCAUGCUUCAGCUAAGGAUGGGUCUCACAAAUCAGAGAAAACACAUUGGGGUCAACGUCAGCAGCAAAAUCAAAAGAAACAAAAGACAUUGAAGGAAUAAGAAGAUGAAUUUGGGAGAGAAGAUCUAAUGAAACUAUGCAAUGAUGCAGAAACGCUAGUAUCCCAACUUAUGAGCACAAUACAUGAAAGGCAACAAGAAAAUAGUGAUCUCAAUAGGAGGUUA